This 489-nucleotide ribosomal RNA is filed under the name Triticum aestivum (bread wheat). Its description in RNAcentral is "partial small subunit ribosomal RNA". Lineage: Eukaryota; Viridiplantae; Streptophyta; Magnoliopsida; Poales; Poaceae. The record is from RNAcentral.
AUGGCAAAAUAUUUUUGGAGUAGCUCUCUUGACAAAAAAAAAUUAAUGCAUUGGGUGUCCUGAAAGGAGUUGUCAACACCCAAGUGCAAGGGUGGGAUGGGGUUUCAUGACCCACAUCUCUUUAAUCUGGCUAUGCUGGGCAAACAUGGUUGGCGUUUCAUCACCAACCCUAAUUCGCUUUGUGCUCGAGUUCUCAAGGGUCGUUACUUCCUAGACACCGACUUCAUGCAUGCUCCAACUCCCAAGUCAGGUUCGUCCACUUGGAGGGCAAUUGUGGCUGGAAGAAAUGCCUUGCAGACUGGUUUAAUCUCCAGAGUGGGAGAUGGCUCGACUAUCUCAGUUUGGGAGGACAAGUGGAUCCCAGGCACGGUCUCCAUGACACCAACUCAUAGGCCUACAUAUACGAAUAUCGAACGGGUGUCGGACCUCAUCGACAUAGGGAGUUGGUCUUGGAAGCAUGAUGUGAUUACGGACAAUUUUACCGCCUAG